GUGCAGCAGGCGAGAAAACUUCACACUGUGCGAAAGCACGAUGAGGGAAUCCCAAGUGCUUGCACGUAAGUGUAAGCUGUUUCUCUGUUUAAAACGCAGAGAGAGUAAGGGCUGGGUAAGACGGGUGCCAGCCGCCGCGGUAAUACCUGCAGCUCAAGUGGUGACCGUUAUUAUUGGGCCUAAAACGUCCGUAGCCGGUUUAAUAAAUGUCUGGGUAAAUCGUGUAGCUUAACUAUACGAAUUCCGGGUAGACUGUUAAACUCGAGACCGGGAGAAGUUAGAGGUACUCCUGGGGUAGAGGUGAAAUUCUGUAAUCCUAGGGGGACCACCAGUGGCGAAGGCGUCUAACUAGAACGGGUCUGACGGUGGGGGACGAAGCCCUGGGGCGCAAACGGGAUUAGAUACCC
RNAcentral lists this ribosomal RNA (407 nucleotides) under uncultured microorganism. Its description in RNAcentral is "bacterial SSU rRNA". It matches the Rfam family "Archaeal small subunit ribosomal RNA", at positions 330 to 738 of the family's 1478-position model. The record is from RNAcentral.